Molecule: ribosomal RNA, 253 nt
Filed under: uncultured bacterium
Lineage: Bacteria
Description: partial 16S ribosomal RNA
Rfam family: Bacterial small subunit ribosomal RNA
Source: RNAcentral
UACGUAGGGGGCAAGCGUUGUCCGGAAUCAUUGGGCGUAAAGAGCGCGUAGGCGGCCCAGUCAGUCCGCUCUGAAAGUCUGGGGCUCAACCCCUGAAUGCGGGUGGAUACUGCUGGGCUAGAGUCCGGAAGAGGCGAGUGGAAUUCCUGGUGUAGCGGUGAAAUGCGCAGAUAUCAGGAGGAACACCGAUGGCGAAGGCAGCUCGCUGGGACGGUACUGACGCUGAGGCGCGAAAGCGUGGGGAGCAAACAGG